CUUGACAGUCAACUCCUGUGAUUUAUAGCUUUGCCCCAGGAAUGUGUUUAGCUCUCUCUUGCUGCACAAUCUCAAAGACUGGAGAAUGUGGAAGAUUGAGCCUCUGUGGGAUUAAAAGUGUCUGACACUGGAAUUUAUCAUCAACUGAAACUUUGGGUCCUCCAUCUCUGCAGCCUCAACUCCACAAACCUGACAGGUUUAAGGAGGAUGAUCGCGGUUCUCGGGAGGAUGGUUGGAACAGAUGGUCCCCAAAGAGGAAGACCCGUGAUGGCCUUUGAGGAUAGCAGUGUCCUUUGAACCCAGCAACUCUGGCUUGGUGGCCCUGCUCCUCUUCACAACCUGGGAGGCCACCUCUGUGGACCAGUCCUCCAUGCUGGCCCC
This 381-nucleotide long non-coding RNA is filed under the name Marmota marmota marmota (Alpine marmot). Its description in RNAcentral is "lncRNA (ENSMMMG00000022028.1)". Lineage: Eukaryota; Metazoa; Chordata; Mammalia; Rodentia; Sciuridae. The record is from RNAcentral.